CAUCUGAUACUGGCAAGCUUGAGUCUCGUAGAGGGGGGUAGAAUUCCAGGUGUAGCGGUGAAAUGCGUAGAGAUCUGGAGGAAUACCGGUGGCGAAGGCGGCCCCCUGGACGAAGACUGACGCUCAGGUGCGAAAGCGUGGGGAGCAAACAGGAUUAGAUACCCUGGUAGUCCACGCCGUAAACGAUGUCGACUUGGAGGUUGUGCCCUUGAGGCGUGGCUUCCGGAGCUAACGCGUUAAGUCGACCGCCUGGGGAGUACGGCCGCAAGGUUAAAACUCAAAUGAAUUGACGGGGGCCCGCACAAGCGGUGGAGCAUGUGGUUUAAUUCGAUGCAACGCGAAGAACCUUACCUGGUCUUGACAUCCACGGAAGUUUUCAGAGAUGAGAAUGUGCCUUCGGGAACCGUGAGACAGGUGCUGCAUGGCUGUCGUCAGCUCGUGUUGUGAAAUGUUGGGUUAAGUCCCGCAACGAGCGCAACCCUUAUCCUUUGUUGCCAGCGGUCCGGCCGGGAACUCAAAGGAGACUGCCAGUGAUAAACUGGAGGAAGGUGGGGAUGACGUCAAGUCAUCAUGGCCCUUACGACCAGGGCUACACACGUGCUACAAUGGCGCAUACAAAGAGAAGCGACCUCGCGAGAGCAAGCGGACCUCAUAAAGUGCGUCGUAGUCCGGAUUGGAGUCUGCAACUCGACUCCAUGAAGUCGGAAUCGCUAGUAAUCGUGGAUCAGAAUGCCACGGUGAAUACGUUCCCGGGCCUUGUACACACCGCCCGUCACACCAUGGGAGUGGGUUGCAAAAGAAGUAGGUAGCUUAACCUUCGGGAGGGCGCUUACCACUUUGUGAUUCAUGACUGGGGUGAAGUCGUAACAAGGUAACCGUAGGGGAACCUGCGGUUGGAUCACCUCCUUACCUUAAAGAAGC
Molecule: ribosomal RNA, 921 nt
Filed under: Shigella flexneri
Lineage: Bacteria; Pseudomonadati; Pseudomonadota; Gammaproteobacteria; Enterobacterales; Enterobacteriaceae
Description: bacterial SSU rRNA
Rfam family: Bacterial small subunit ribosomal RNA
Source: RNAcentral